This 373-nucleotide long non-coding RNA is filed under the name Mytilus galloprovincialis (Mediterranean mussel). The record is from RNAcentral. Lineage: Eukaryota; Metazoa; Mollusca; Bivalvia; Mytilida; Mytilidae.
AUAAAGCACAAAAAAAAAUACAGUAUGCUUUGCCUUCGCACUGUGAAUUUAUACCUCAUUUUGGAAUAUCGAUAUACGAACCAACAGCUGGGUUAUUAACUUAUUAACACCAAUUUUGGAAAGUGGUACCAACUGGCUUAAUAUGAUUUGGUUUUUGUCGUCUUGAUAAUUCGUUAGAUUAGCCAAAAGAUAAUACGUAAACACUCAUACAAGACAUAAAGCACAAAAAAAAACACAGUAUCCUUUGCCUCCAAAAGAUAAUGUGUGUGAUUUUUAAUUUGAUUACUUAUUGUAAUUUACUUGGAUAUUCAACUAAGUACUAUUAAAUAUUUUUCUUUGACAUGACUUCUGUGAAAUUUGUUAAUAAUUAUUG